GAAUUAGUUUCAGUUUUUCAAUUGUAGUAUAUCAAAUUCGUUACUGAGUUUAUACUUAGUAUUUUUUUUUUCAGAUAUGAAGAAUACUCGUAGAGGUACUACUGAGGCUACAUCAUCUCGACCUGAUAGAGAAUAUGUUGUCCAUUACUAAGCCGAUCAUGGCAUUAGGGCAAACUGAUGCAUUGCGUACACAACUUGCCACAUUU
RNAcentral lists this long non-coding RNA (206 nucleotides) under Prunus persica (peach). RNAcentral's name for it is "long non-coding RNA (PPER_LNC001851)". Lineage: Eukaryota; Viridiplantae; Streptophyta; Magnoliopsida; Rosales; Rosaceae. The record is from RNAcentral.